RNAcentral lists this ribosomal RNA (650 nucleotides) under uncultured cyanobacterium. Its description in RNAcentral is "bacterial SSU rRNA". It matches the Rfam family "Bacterial small subunit ribosomal RNA", at positions 51 to 740 of the family's 1533-position model. The record is from RNAcentral. Lineage: Bacteria; Bacillati; Cyanobacteriota.
UNACAUGCAGUCGUACGAGAGUUUUUAACUCAAGUGGCGGACGGGUGAGUAAAGGGNNNGAAUUUGCCUUUAGGAGGGGGACAACAACUGGAAANNGGCUGCUAAUACCCCAUAUGCUUUCGAGUGAAAUGGAUUUUUCCGCCUAAAGAGAAGCUUGCGGCUGAUUAGCUUGUUGGUGAGGUAAUGGCUCACCAAGGCGACGAUCAGUAUCUGGUUUGAGAGGACGAUCAGACACACUGGAACUGAGACACGGUCCAGACUCCUACGGGAGGCAGCAGUGGGGAAUUUUCCGCAAUGGGCGAAAGCCUGACGGAGCAAUACCGCGUGAGGGAUGACGGCCUAUGGGUUGUAAACCUCUUUUUUCAGGGAGGAAUCAAAUGACGUGUACCUGAAGAAUAAGCAUCGGCUAACUCCGUGCCAGCAGCCGCGGUAAGACGGAGGAUGCAAGUGUUAUCCGGAAUCACUGGGCGUAAAGCGUCUGUAGGUGGUCCAAUAAGUCAACUGUUAAAUCUUGGGGCUCAACCUCAAAAUCGCAGUCGAAACUAUUAGACUAGAGUAUAGUAGGGGUAAAGGGAAUUUCCAGUGGAGCGGUGAAAUGCGUAGAGAUUGGAAAGAACACCGAUGGCGAAGGCACUUUACUGGGCUAUUAC